This 74-nucleotide transfer RNA is filed under the name Candidatus Iainarchaeum sp. Its description in RNAcentral is "tRNA-Arg". It matches the Rfam family "tRNA". Rfam says of the family: Transfer RNA (tRNA) molecules are approximately 80 nucleotides in length. Their secondary structure includes four short double-helical elements and three loops (D, anti-codon, and T loops). The record is from RNAcentral. Lineage: Archaea; Nanobdellati; Candidatus Iainarchaeota; Candidatus Iainarchaeia; Candidatus Iainarchaeales; Candidatus Iainarchaeaceae.
ACUCCUGUGGUCUAGUUUGGAUAUGAUCCUAGCUUGCGGAGCUAGCGACUCGGGUUCGAAUCCCGACGGGGGUA